This 798-nucleotide ribosomal RNA is filed under the name uncultured Bacillota bacterium. Its description in RNAcentral is "bacterial SSU rRNA". It matches the Rfam family "Bacterial small subunit ribosomal RNA", at positions 68 to 864 of the family's 1533-position model. Lineage: Bacteria; Bacillati; Bacillota. The record is from RNAcentral.
GGAGCGCCAUGGAAUGAGGUUUCGGCCAAAGGAAAUGGUUGCUUAGUGGCGGACUGGUGAGUAACGCGUGAGGAACCUGCCUUUCAGAGGGGGACAACAGUUGGAAACGACUGCUAAUACCGCAUGACGCAUGACCGGGGCAUCCCGGACAUGCCAAAGAUUUAUCGCUGAAAGAUGGCCUCGCGUCCGAUUAGAUAGUUGGCGGGGUAACGGCCCACCAAGUCGACGAUCGGUAGCCGGACUGAGAGGUUGGCCGGCCACAUUGGGACUGAGAUACGGCCCAGACUCCUACGGGAGGCAGCAGUGGGGAAUAUUGGGCAAUGGACGCAAGUCUGACCCAGCAACGCCGCGUGAAGGAAGAAGGCUUUCGGGUUGUAAACUUCUUUGACAGGGGAAGAGUAGAAGACGGUACCCUGAAAACAAGCCACGGCUAACUACGUGCCAGCAGCCGCGGUAAUACGUAGGUGGCAAGCGUUGUCCGGAUUUACUGGGUGUAAAGGGCGUGAAGCCGGGCCGACAAGUCAGAUGUGAAAUCCCGAGGCUUAACCUCGGAACUGCAUUUGAAACUGUUGGUCUUGAGUAUCGGAGAGGUCAUCGGAAUUCCUUGUGUAGCGGUGAAAUGCGUAGAUAUAAGGAAGAACACCAGUGGCGAAGGCGGAUGACUGGACGACAACUGACGGUGAGGCGCGAAAGCGUGGGGAGCGAACAGGAUUAGAUACCCUGGUAGUCCACGCUGUAAACGAUGGAUACUAGGUGUGCGGGGACUGACCCCCUGCGUGCCGCAGUUAACACAAUAAG